This 334-nucleotide ribosomal RNA is filed under the name uncultured eukaryote. Its description in RNAcentral is "partial 18S ribosomal RNA". It matches the Rfam family "Eukaryotic small subunit ribosomal RNA", at positions 1470 to 1796 of the family's 1831-position model. The record is from RNAcentral.
CCCUUAGAUGUCCGGGGCCGCACGCGCGCUACACUGAAGGAAUCAGCGUGGCUUUCUCCCUGACCCGAAAGGGUUGGGAAACCCGUUGAAUCUCCUUCGUGAUAGGGAUUGGGGCUUGAAAUUGUUCCCCAUGAACGAGGAAUUCCCAGUAAGCGCGAGUCAUAAGCUCGCGUUGAUUACGUCCCUGCCCUUUGUACACACCGCCCGUCCCUACUACCGAUUGAACGGUUUAGUGAGGGCCUCGGAUUGGUCUCGGCCCGCUCUUUACCGGGCGGCGCCGUUGGUCGAGAAGACGCUCGAACUUGAUCGUUUAGAGGAAGUAAAAGUCGUAACA